Molecule: small RNA, 168 nt
Rfam family: Clostridiales-1 RNA
Source: Rfam
UGAUGUCAGGGUCAAAAGGUCUGACACCACGUGUGCCUGCACACUGGUGGUAGAAUGACCUUGAGGCCCGCCCCGAUAUGAGCAUAAAAGUGGGGCGUAAGCACCAUGAUAUGCGAAUAGCGGGUAGGAUUGUGGGAGUGCGUAGCACGAAACAAUCCGUUGGCAUCA